CCACCAGAGAGAGGAAGGAGCACAGCCGCCAAGGCGCCGAGGAGGAGUCCUCCUGCUCCCCCCUACCCCCUCCCCGGCACCCCCCUUCUCCUCCUCCCCCUCGCCGCAUGGAUCCGCACGGAUCCGUCAGCGGAGGGGUCUCUAGCACGCCGGCGGCUCGACUUCGAGGGGGAUCUGCUUUGAGCGGGGUCAAUGGCCGGGGAGUCGCGCCGGACGAUGCGUCACGGCGG
Molecule: long non-coding RNA, 230 nt
Filed under: Hordeum vulgare
Lineage: Eukaryota; Viridiplantae; Streptophyta; Magnoliopsida; Poales; Poaceae
Description: long non-coding RNA (HVUL_LNC006856)
Source: RNAcentral